UACGGAGGGGGCGAGCGUUAUUCGGAAUUAUUGGGCGUAAAGGGCGCGUAGGCGGUUUGACAAGUCUGAUGUGAAAUCUAUGGGCUCAACCCAUAGCCUGCAUUAGAAACUGUCGGGCUUGAGUAUGGGAGAGGUUAGUGGAAUUUCCGGUGUAGCGGUGAAAUGCGUAGAUAUCGGAAGGAACACCUGUGGCGAAAGCGGCUCACUGGACCAUAACUGACGCUGAGGCGCGAAAGCUAGGGGAGCAAACAGG
Molecule: ribosomal RNA, 253 nt
Filed under: uncultured bacterium
Lineage: Bacteria
Description: partial 16S ribosomal RNA
Rfam family: Bacterial small subunit ribosomal RNA
Source: RNAcentral